CUGGUCAGGAUGAACGCUAGCGACAGGCCUAACACAUGCAAGUCAGGGGCAGCACAAGGAGCAAUCUGAGGUGGCGACCGGCGCACGGGUGAGUAACACGUAUGCAACCUGCCUGUAAGCGGGGAAUAACCCGUUGAAAGACGGACUAAUACCGCAUAAUACUAAAUUACUGCAUGGUAAUUAUUUAAACAUUUAUGGCUUACAGAUGGGCAUGCGCAUGAUUAGCUAGUUGGAGAGGUAACGGCUCCCCAAGGCAACGAUCAUUAGGGGUUCUGAGAGGAAGGUCCCCCACACUGGUACUGAGACACGGACCAGACUCCUACGGGAGGCAGCAGUGAGGAAUAUUGGUCAAUGGACGAGAGUCUGAACCAGCCAAGUCGCGUGCAGGAAGAAUGUCCCUAUGGAUUGUAAACUGCUUUUGCAGGGGAAUAAAGUGCAUCACGUGUGAUGUUUUGUAUGUACUCUGCGAAUAAGGAUCGGCUAACUCCGUGCCAGCCGCCGC
This 502-nucleotide ribosomal RNA is filed under the name uncultured bacterium. RNAcentral describes it as "bacterial SSU rRNA". It matches the Rfam family "Bacterial small subunit ribosomal RNA", at positions 20 to 518 of the family's 1533-position model. The record is from RNAcentral.